This 76-nucleotide transfer RNA is filed under the name Chromobacterium violaceum. Its description in RNAcentral is "tRNA-Gly". It matches the Rfam family "tRNA". From Rfam's summary of the family: Transfer RNA (tRNA) molecules are approximately 80 nucleotides in length. Lineage: Bacteria; Pseudomonadati; Pseudomonadota; Betaproteobacteria; Neisseriales; Chromobacteriaceae. The record is from RNAcentral.
GCGGGAAUAGCUCAGUUGGUAGAGCGCAACCUUGCCAAGGUUGAGGUCGCGAGUUCGAGCCUCGUUUCCCGUUCCA